UUCUUUCUUAGAGUUUUGUCGAGAAGCACAAAGAAAUUGGCGAGAGAGAAUUCGGGGGUCGAGGGCAUGAUUUUCGAAGGCUCGUUCUUCCCUUUUCUUCUCUAUUUUCCAUUCACUAACACUCUGCUUGUGUGACCACCCUCUCCUUCUACGCCCCUCCCAAUCUCCCCUUUCCCCAACCUCAUCUUCGUCGACGCCGCUGGCUCCCUCGCCAUUUUUGACACGGAUGGCUUCGUCCAUCUUACCACGCUUUCCGUCCACCGCAACGCCGCUAUCAACAACCUCGCCCUGCACCCGUCCGGUGAGCGCGCCCUCACCGUUGCUCGUGACAGAUGCCUCGCCGUCGUCAACCUCGUCCGCGGCUACCGCAACUGCUGCUUGCGCCUCGACAAGGAAGUUACUCUGGUCAAGUUCAAUUCAUCCGGCGACCACUUUUUUAUGGCCACAAAGAAGAAGGUUUAUGUCCACCAGACUGAGGAUGCACACAUAUUGUUCGAAUUGGAAUGCUCUAAGCUCUUUCUCUGCGCUGCUCCUGCUAGGUUAUGUGAUUCUUCAAAUUCUUUCUUUGUUUUCUCGAAUUAUCAUCGAAUAUCAAGUUGGUUAUUUAUAUUUUCUCUGUUUCUUCUUUUGGUACUGCUGAUUUGUCUUGUAUGUUAAAAAAACCCUAGGGUUUAGGUAGCAUUUGAUAAAGAAAGUUUGGUAUAUUGUCACUAGUUAAGUUUUUCGGGCGUCUAAUACUUGUGAUGUUCUGCUGUGGGAAGAUUUUACACAGAUUUUGGAGACUAUUUGAAGCAUCAAUGAACCGUGAGAAGUUCCCAGAGAAGGAAGAUGUAAUAAAGCCUCUACUUGAUGUGACAGAAACAACUCUGCUUCACUACUGUAUGUAGUCUCUUAAGUUGAUGAGGUGCAACUGACUUGAGUUUUAAUUGCUUGUCAAGUGUGGAGGCUAUAGUAAAAAGGAACCUGGUGAAGUACUGACACUUCAGAAGCGAGUGUUAGCAGUGCUAAAUGAGGCAAGAAAGUCCGAUGGUCUUGGCUACUUGAAGUAUCCUUUGAUUUCAGAUAUCACCAAAUCCAUCUCGAAAUCUUUUGGUGUUCUCAUUCCAGAUCAGUAUUUUUCUAAUUGCAGAUGUCAACGCAGUAUUUUUCUAAUUGCAGAUGUCAACAAUGUCGUGACAAUCACAUUAUUGAAGUGAGGGAAGAUUGGUGUUACAUGUAAUUAGUACAUGCUUAUAGGUUAUGUUAUGAUGAUAUACAUUCUUAUAGUACUAAUAGGAUAUAUAUGUUAUCGUUG
This is an RNA transcript of Vigna angularis (adzuki bean), 1294 nucleotides long. RefSeq lists it as uncharacterized. The transcript has 5 exons. NCBI's taxonomy places the organism in Eukaryota, Viridiplantae, Streptophyta, Magnoliopsida, Fabales, Fabaceae. The record is from RefSeq and is a predicted model, not a curated record.